Molecule: ribosomal RNA, 384 nt
Filed under: uncultured Anaerolineaceae bacterium
Lineage: Bacteria; Bacillati; Chloroflexota; Anaerolineae; Anaerolineales; Anaerolineaceae
Description: bacterial SSU rRNA
Rfam family: Bacterial small subunit ribosomal RNA
Source: RNAcentral
UUAAUGGUGGUAGGGAUCCGAAAGGUGACCGACCUUCGGGGAGUCCAUUUACAGGUGUUGCAUGGCUGUCGUCAGCUCGUGUCGUGAGAUGUUCGGUUAAGUCCGCUAACGAGCGCAACCCUCGCUGUGUGUUAUAUGUGUCACACAGGACUGCUGGUAUUAAGCCGGAGGAAGGUGGGGACGACGUCAAGUCAGCAUGACCUUUAUAUCCAGGGCUACACACACGCUACAAUGGUCAGUACAAUGGGUUGCCAAGCCGCGAGGCGGAGCCAAUCCCACAAAGCCGAUCGUAGUCCGGAUUGUUCUCUGCAACUCGAGAGCAUGAAGUCGGAAUCGCUAGUAAUCGCAGGUCAGCAUACUGCGGUGAAUACGUUCCCGGGUCUU